RNAcentral lists this unclassified non-coding RNA (281 nucleotides) under uncultured fungus. Its description in RNAcentral is "partial contains small subunit ribosomal RNA, internal transcribed spacer 1, and 5.8S ribosomal RNA". The stretch from base 1 to 73 matches the Rfam family "Eukaryotic small subunit ribosomal RNA", at positions 1759 to 1831 of the family's 1831-position model. Lineage: Eukaryota; Fungi. The record is from RNAcentral.
GCAAACUUGGUCAUUUAGAGGAAGUAAAAGUCGUAACAAGGUUUCCGUAGGUGAACCUGCGGAAGGAUCAUUAACAAAUCUGGACUGGUGGUCUAGUGCCGUGUGGUGGUUGAUCCUGCCACUGGUGCUAGAUCAUCACAUUGACUCGGGCUUGGCAGCAAUGUGCCAGGCCAUGAGACAUUCACGCUUGUAGAGUUUGACUGAGUGUAAUGAUAUUGAUGUAACCAUAAACAACUUUUAACAAUGGAUCUCUUGGCUCUUGCAUCAAUGAAGAACGCAGC